This 1051-nucleotide long non-coding RNA is filed under the name Salmo salar (Atlantic salmon). Its description in RNAcentral is "lncRNA (ENSSSAG00000106563.1)". Lineage: Eukaryota; Metazoa; Chordata; Actinopteri; Salmoniformes; Salmonidae. The record is from RNAcentral.
UUCCUCGCUGUACAGUAAGCAUUUUGUCGCGCGUUCCUCGCUGUACUGUAAGCAUUUUGUCGUGCGUUCCUCAAAACUGUGAUUAUUGUCUGUGCUGUAGAUGGCAUCUGGGUCAAGGAGUGUUGGGGUAUGGAGACUAGAGGGCUUAGGCUAUUUCUGUGAUGGGUGGCCGGCGGUGGGGAAUGAGGUAUUGUCAUUCCUCUUCUGUACGUUCAGUCCACUCCAGACUAUUGAACAUAAUAAUGAACAGAUUUGUUAAAGAUUUAAGCAUUGGAGGCUACUCCGAUUUUUGAAAAUAAAUAAUAAUAAUCACCUGUGCACAGUCUCGCUUCUGUCUCAGUGUUCUGAUAAUAACUGUUAGGCUGUGUGAAGUCUCAGUGUUCUGAUAAUAACUGUUAGGCUGUGUGAAGUCUCAGUGUUCUGAUAAUAACUGUUAGGCUGUGUGAAGUCUCAGUGUUCUGAUAAUAACUGUUAGGCUGUGUGAAGUCUCAGUGUUCUGAUAAUAACUGUUAGGCUGUGUGAAGUCUCUGUGUUCUGAUAAUAACUGUUAGGCUGUGUGAAGUCUCAGUGUUCUGAUAAUAACUGUUAGUCUAGAUGACUAACUAGUCAUGAUGGCCUACUUUGUUUUCAUAGUGAACGCUUGUAUGCUGCUGUCAAUCAACACAAGUAAAUGGCUAGUGGAAGACAACAAUACUCUGACUGUGCCGGUCUUUGCAGUCUCCUUCAAUCCCUUUAGAAAUGAAACGCCCUUUAAUGGACAGCAUAUGGAUCCUGUAUUUGCACAGACAGUUGUCUGUGUCAUUGGCAGUGGCAACCCGCCCCUAAAAAAAAUGGUUGGAUUAUGGAUUUUAAAUGCUCAUAAAAGUGAGGUGUCGACUGGUGGUGAGACUGGAGGAACCUUUGUGAACCAGUCAUCUCAUCGUCCUCAGCCUAGAGCGAUGCCACUUUGUAGAAUGAGACCCUUCUCCUGACACAGGGAGGGUAGUCCUCCCCCAACCUUAGCAACCCGGACUCCCUACCUACCUACCUACCUACCUACCACUGCCUACCC